GAUGAACGCUGGCGGCGUGCCUAAUACAUGCAAGUCGAGCGAACGGACGAGAAGCUUGCUUCUCUGGUGUUAGCGGCGGACGGGGGAGUAACACGUGGAUAACCUACCUAUAAGACUGGGAUAACUUCGGGAAACCGGAGCUAAUACCGGAUAAUAUUUUGAACCGCAUGGUUCAAAAGUGAAAGACGGUCUUGCUGUCACUUAUAGAUGGAUCCGCGCUGCAUUAGCUAGUUGGUAAGGUAACGGCUUACCAAGGCAACGAUGCAUAGCCGACCUGAGAGGGUGAUCGGCCACACUGGAACUGAGACACGGUCCAGACUCCUACGGGAGGCAGCAGUAGGGAAUCUUCCGCAAUGGGCGAAAGCCUGACGGAGCAACGCCGCGUGAGUGAUGAAGGUCUUCGGAUCGUAAAACUCUGUUAUUAGGGAAGAACAUAUGUGUAAGUAACUGUGCACAUCUUGACGGUACCUAAUCAGAAAGCCACGGCUAACUACGUG
Molecule: ribosomal RNA, 497 nt
Filed under: uncultured bacterium
Lineage: Bacteria
Description: partial 16S ribosomal RNA
Rfam family: Bacterial small subunit ribosomal RNA
Source: RNAcentral